GACGAACGCUGGCGGCGUGCUUAACACAUGCAAGUCGAACGGAAAGGCCCUGCUUUUGUGGGGUGCUCGAGUGGCGAACGGGUGAGUAACACGUGAGUAACCUGCCCUUGACUUUGGGAUAACUUCAGGAAACUGGGGCUAAUACCGGAUAGGAGCUCCUGCUGCAUGGUGGGGGUUGGAAAGUUUCGGCGGUUGGGGAUGGACUCGCGGCUUAUCCGCUUGUUGGUGGGGUAGUGGCUUACCAAGGCUUUGACGGGUAGCCGGCCUGAGAGGGUGACCGGCCACAUUGGGACUGAGAUACGGCCCAGACUCCUCCGGGAGGCAGCAGUGGGGAAUAUUGCACAAUGGGCGGAAGCCUGAUGCAGCAACGCCGCGUGCGGGAUGACGGCCUUCGGGUUGUAAACCGCCUUCGCCUGUGACGAAGCGUGAGUGACGGUAAUGGGUAAAGAAGCACCGGCUAACUACGUG
RNAcentral lists this ribosomal RNA (468 nucleotides) under uncultured bacterium. RNAcentral's name for it is "partial 16S ribosomal RNA". It matches the Rfam family "Bacterial small subunit ribosomal RNA", at positions 28 to 507 of the family's 1533-position model. The record is from RNAcentral.